Lagopus muta (rock ptarmigan) is the source of this 3734-nucleotide RNA transcript. It is a transcript of the gene named potassium inwardly rectifying channel subfamily J member 4, with no coding region annotated. The record is from RefSeq and is a predicted model, not a curated record. Lineage: Eukaryota; Metazoa; Chordata; Aves; Galliformes; Phasianidae. The transcript has 4 exons.
GUAGCAGAAAGCUGUUGGAUCCUACCACGGAGUUACUGACUUCUUAGCUACAGACUGCAUAGCAAUCAGCGAGGGGGAGAGGGAGCCAGGGAACGGGAGCAGGGAGAGGCGGUGCAGAGAUUUUGGGGUGAGAGCAGGGAGGUGCAGGGAGAGGAAGGAAGGGCAGAGGGGACGAGGCAGGAGGGGGAGAGCAGAACCAUCGCUGAGAGCUUGUGGGAUGGACGGGAGCGAAGCACGCUGAGCGGAGGAGGAGAGGAGCUGGGCACGGUGAGCUGGGGCUCCUCAGGAAUCCAGCAACCCCGGAGCUGCAGAGAACCCACUGGGUGAGCCCAGGAGCUCUGGGGCAUGAUGGAGACACCGACUGCUGACCCCAUCCUUUGACUCUGGCUCCCAGGCGGCCCCGGCGCGAUGCGGCACAUGCUCAGGAGCAAUGGUGAUGAUGGCAUGGGUCUCAGCUUGUCAGAGGUGAAAGCUAGAGCUGCCAGGUCCCACAUGAGCACGGCUGCAUGAGAUCCCACGCUCGCCCAGCUCCUGUGGCCCCCAACACCUGAUGAUACAGCAAGCCAUGGGCAGCGUCCGAGUCAACCGGUACAGCAUUGUCUCGACUGAGGAGGAUGGACACAAGGUCUCUGCGCUGGGCAGCAUGAACGGGCACAGCCGGAACGGGAAGGGCCACACACCCCGGCGGAAGCACCGUAACCGCUUUGUGAAGAAGAAUGGCCAAUGCAAUGUCUACUUCGCCAACCUGAGCAACAAGUCUCAGCGCUACAUGGCUGACAUCUUCACCACCUGUGUGGACACGCGCUGGCGGUACAUGCUGAUGAUCUUCUCCGCCGCCUUCCUGGUCUCUUGGCUCUUCUUUGGUUUCCUCUUCUGGUGCAUUGCUUUCUUCCACGGUGACCUCAACGCACCGGUGGUGGGGGGCAGUCCCUCUCUCCUCAAGCCUUGCAUCAUGCACGUGAACAGCUUUCUAGGGGCUUUCCUCUUCUCAGUGGAGACGCAGACAACCAUUGGGUAUGGCUUCCGCUGCGUGACUGAGGAGUGUCCGCUGGCCAUCAUGGCUGUGGUGGUCCAGUCCAUUGUGGGCUGUGUUAUUGACUCCUUCAUGAUUGGCACCAUCAUGGCCAAGAUGGCGAGGCCCAAGAAGCGGGCCCAGACCCUCCUCUUCAGUCACCAUGCGGUCAUCUCGGUGCGGGAUGGCAAACUGUGCCUCAUGUGGCGAGUGGGCAACCUGAGGAGGAGCCACAUCGUGGAGGCCCACGUUCGUGCCCAGCUCAUCAAACCCUACAUGACAGAGGAAGGGGAGUACCUCCCCCUGGACCAGCGGGACCUCAAUGUAGGCUAUGAUGUGGGUCUCGAUCGUAUAUUUUUGGUCUCACCCAUUAUUAUUGUUCAUGAGAUUGAUGAGGAGAGCCCACUCUAUGGGAUUGGCAAGGAGGAGCUGGAGACGGAGAACUUUGAGAUCGUUGUUAUCCUGGAAGGGAUGGUGGAAGCCACGGCCAUGACCACACAGGCACGGAGCUCUUACCUCGCCAGUGAAAUCCUCUGGGGUCACCGCUUUGAACCAGUAGUGUUUGAGGAGAAGAACCACUACAAAGUGGAUUAUUCCCGCUUUCACAAGACCUAUGAGGUAGCUGGCACACCCUGCUGCUCAGCUCGGGAGCUGCAAGAAAGCAAGAUGACUAUCCUACCUUCUCCCCCACCUCCCAGUGCCUUCUGCUAUGAGAACGAGCUGGCUCUUGUCAGUCAAGACGAAGAUGAAGAUGAUGACGAAGUGGGUGUAGCGUUAGGUGGCAGCACCAAGGAAGAGGGAGGCGUCAUCCAGAUGAUGGAUUUUGGAAGCCACCUGGACCUGGAGCGGCUCCAGGCCACUUUGCCCUUGGAUACCAUCUCAUACCGCAGGGAGUCAGCCAUCUAAUCCCUCCAGCCUCCCCGUUCUACACCCAUUACCCAUCCCCUCCUUCUCCUCCUCUGUUCUGCACCCAAACGUAGCUGGAUAAGUCCCUUGCCCACCAAAAAAUGCCUCCUGUGACCACCUCUCAGCACCUGAGUACGUCGAGGCCUGGAGAUACUCUGAUAUAUUCCCUUUCCCAUGAAGUUGUACCCCCUGGAUGAGGAGUGAGAAUACACCAUUCUUCCAGACAGCGCAGCUUGCUCGAGGACCUGCCCAGGGACAAGAAAGAAGCAUGGUUGAAUUCCCACUUCUGGGGAGGUGACAGGAGCCUGUGCCCUCAAUGGAGAGACUGUACCUGCUCAAGUGGUUCUGCGGCUGAGACAACAGCACUUUCUGUCUCUCUCAACAUGUGCAGACCCAUGGCUAUCAAUAGAAAUGGCUCUCACAAGGAGAGGAGUGAUGCAUAAGUCCUGACUCAAUGAGAAGGGACAGGAGAGUUUAGGACUCCUAGAGGGAGUGGGAGAGUCUCUGGAGAUAGGGGUUUGCUUGCAUGUUUAUUGCUUGUUGCACUUGACUUUCUUUGUAUAUAAAAAAGAUCGAGAACUGAAAUCCAUAUUCUUCCACUGUAAAUGCCAAGCUGGGAGAGAAGGACACUGCACGUAGCCCGCUCUGCACUCUCCUUGUGGCACCCAUCACCUCCAGCAGCAGCUCAGCCCCACAGCCCCACAGACUCAGCCCUGGUUCCCCUACUCCUCCCCAGACCACGUUCUGCUUCUUUCCUGGAGCGCCUGGCAGCAGGCAGGGCCCUGUGCUCACACACCCAGCCACCGUGCCAGGGCUGGCAGGCAGUGACCUGAUGGGACAGCAGGCCCCUCACUUGCUCCUUCCACCUCCUCCAGUCUUCUCCCUGCUGCCAUCAGCUGUAAAACGGAAUUUGUAUCUAUUUAUUUUUAAUAAAGUCUAAUAUCCCAGGGGGAGGUUUGGAAACAAAGGAGACCCCGAGGCUGCAGCCUGGUACAGAGACUGAUGAGUGUUAUUAGCGCUGGUGUUUGCUGUUUGUAUGGGUUUGAUGCCUGGAGGCUUCACCUUUGGUACUUCAGAGCCAGAGCUAGAUUUAACACCACUUCUCUGCUGUUUCACAGAAGACAGCAAACCUUGCUUUCAGAGCUGGGUGCCUGUCGCUGGUCAUGGCAGUGGAAACAAACUAAUGGACCGAGAGGGAAGGACUCUGCAUGUGAGGAUGUGAGGACACGGGCACCCAGAACACAGACUGAGCUGGUGGCCCCAAAGAAGGGAGCGUGGCUGGACACUGGACACCCCUCACCAAGGUGCAGCACCCUUUAGAGGUGAGUGGGGAUUAUGUACCAUGACUCUAGUUCCUAAGAGUCUGGUCUGUGAGGAGAUGCACUCCGUGAGGACAUCUAGGGGGGAUUUCUCCCACUUUGGCAAUGCACAAAGGUAUGUGUAUCCUUCAGUGCACGUGCUUCUGCACCUGCAUGCUCCAAUCACAAAGUACUCAUGACUGAAUAUCCACUGAACGUACCUACAUACAUAUGUCAUAUAUGCAGGCAUAAGCCAUCCUACACCACUCAAUAAACCAUAAACACUCAGUGAUGUGCACACAAACUUUGUGCACCAGCAGCACUCAUCUCAACAAGUGUAUGUACAAUUGGAUGUUGGGGACUCCUUUAUGUGACCCAAGAAAAAUCACCAAGAGAGAAGGUUGAAUAUUAGGAACAAUUUCUUCUCAGAAGAAGUGGUGCUGCAGUGGCACAGGCUGCCCAGGGAGGUGGUGCAGUCACCAUCCCUGGAGGUGUUCCAGAGCCGUGUGGAUGUGGCA